Transfer RNA from Felis catus (domestic cat), 92 nucleotides. It matches the Rfam family "tRNA". Rfam says of the family: Transfer RNA (tRNA) molecules are approximately 80 nucleotides in length. Their secondary structure includes four short double-helical elements and three loops (D, anti-codon, and T loops). NCBI's taxonomy places the organism in Eukaryota, Metazoa, Chordata, Mammalia, Carnivora, Felidae. The record is from Rfam.
GCCUGAGUGGGUCAGUCAGUUGAGCAUCUGACUCUCAGUUUAGGCUCAGGUCAUGAUCUCAGGGUUCGUGAGUUCGAUCCCCACCUUGGGCU